Molecule: long non-coding RNA, 282 nt
Filed under: Trifolium pratense (red clover)
Lineage: Eukaryota; Viridiplantae; Streptophyta; Magnoliopsida; Fabales; Fabaceae
Description: long non-coding RNA (TPRA_LNC009884)
Source: RNAcentral
AUCUCUCUCCCAAUCAAGACUUAAGAAAAAACCCUCACCUUCGCGAAGAACACCCAAAACGCAACCCUGCUCACCAGCGCCGUCCUCUCUCUCAACCCCUCACCUUCGCAAGAACCGGCGAUGCAAAGCCUCACCAGCGCCGUCCUCUCUCUCAACCUUUAAUCAUCUCACCACCAGCGUCGUCCUCUCUCUCACUCGCAGUCGUCCUCUCUCUCACGAACCCUAACUCCAAAUCGAAGCUUAACUCCAAAUCGAAGCUUCUCUUUCUUUCUCCGGCCNNNN